Molecule: long non-coding RNA, 2686 nt
Filed under: Homo sapiens (human)
Lineage: Eukaryota; Metazoa; Chordata; Mammalia; Primates; Hominidae
Description: HSALNT0332438
Source: RNAcentral
AGACCUAAAAGGCUGGGGCAGACCUCGGGAUGCAGCGGGGGUCGUGCGUAGCGGGUAGGAGCUGCUUGGGACCGCGUCCGGGCGCUCGUGGGGCUCUCGGCGCGGCAGGCGCUUCCCGGCCCUGUCUGGCCGCGGGCUCCGCCGCUUCGCAGCCGAGUCUGGGACUCGGGACUCGGCUGCCCGCUGCUGCGCGGCUCCUCCAUGACCCGGCGCCCUGCCCGGGACCGGCCCGCUCGCUGCACUGGUCCUCUCCUCGGCCUCCUCUUGAGCUUUCCUCGGACAGGGGCACCGUGCGCUCCCCGGCCACCGUCGCUCUGCCCUCGGCUCUCUGGGGCCGGGGAUUCCGGAUCGGGAGCCGGGAUGCGGGCCGGGGCGCGCACAGACGCUAGGCGGCCCAGCCCGGGCGCCGCUGGCACCGGCUCGCGGCUCCCGGCAAAAACCCGUCCGACUGGCUGGGCCACUCCCGCCUGACGCCCCCCCAGAUGACACGACUAGCUCUCCCGGCGUGCUGCCUUUGCCAGUCUACCCGCCAGGUUGUCAGAACAAGCGGCACCUCGCCUCCUGCGUGUCCCUACAGAGCCCCGGCACAAUCAGACUGCCCCAAGCCAGCUCCGAAACCCGAAAUCCCCGCUCCGGCGCUUGCCCACCACGGCCAAAGUUGUGGAAACAGCUUUGACUUUAUUCUCCUCUCUCUCUCAUCUUUUUUUGCCUCGCUUACACACGCAUUCACACUUGCCCCCACAGGAUCCCUCUAGGGGUGCAAGUUCAUCCCCCACCUAGCCACCCACCCCAUCCAGUCGGCACCUAGAGCCGCACGGAGGUUCGGACCCCGCCCGCCGAGGGCGCCCACACCUGGAGCUGGGUUUCGGCCUCUGCGAAAGUGAAAUGCCCAAGCCUCCGGCCAAAGCCCAGACCAGUACAGUAUGAAUUGUCCUAUGAGACUGAGGGGUUCGGCUUCAUUCCUACCUGCCCGCAAAGCUCGCCCCCAGCCUCGAAAACAAAGCGACUGGUCUGACGUGGGGUCCCUGCGCCCCUCCUCUAGCGCGACAGGACCCCCCCAGGGAAGAGCCAGUACCCGUGGGAUGUCACCCCGUCCCCAUCUACCGGGGUGGGGGGCCUGAAAGGAGAACGAUUUAAAAUAAUCUUCAGAAAGAAAAGGGAGGAGGGAGCGGGUGACACAUCGUUCACAUAAACCCAAUUUCUGGUUUCGAGUGAAGUCAAGAUCUCCGCCCCUGCGCCUGCACACACACCUCCUGCCUAACAUUCUCAGCUGCAAAUGCCAAAAAAGAAAAAAAAAAAAAACAGCAAAAGUUGGGACUGCCACCUAUUUAUUUAGGCACAGCCAAAAUUGGUCAGAAAGGGGAGUAAAGUGGGACACGAGCUUCAAAGUAGGGAAACCAAAGAAGGGAGCAUCCACGUCCUCUCUCUGCAGCUUCUCCCCCGCGUUCUUCGGGCGAAUCCGAGGGACGGGCGCUGCGCUGGGGAAAGUUUGUCCCACCCGCGUUUCGCAGCUGGUUGCAAGGAGAGGAGGAGGAGAGGGAGGGUCAAGCUCGGAGCCUGUGACCGCACGGAUGAUCGAGCCGGCGUCGCGCUUACCUCGCAGUCCUCGUACUUGAUAUUAUCCGUCAAUUUCCAAAGCAUUUUCAUGGAUCGGCGUGAACGGAUAUGCCCCUCUCGGUCUCGCACCCAAGUGGAGCUACUCUCUGGCUCUUUACCAACAGCCUAAUCGCCUCAUUAGCAUAUCAACAAUAGUCCAAUUGCUCGCCAGUACCACAAUCUGCCGCCGGCCGCUCCGACACAGAGAUGCCUUCUGCAAAGCCCGGCACUGCUCAAGGUCCAAGCGCCACGCCUGGGGCCCAGCUUCUAGCACUUCUCCCUUAACCCUGCUACCACGAUCCGAGCUGCCCUUUUGGCCCCGUGCAAUUUUAUUAGAAAUCAUUAUCCCUUUCGCAAUUAAACAUAACCACCAAACCAAGACCGGCGAAGUCACUCCAGGAUUUUUUCCCAACAAGGGAUCGCCUCCGCUCGAGGCAGCCACCCCCUCGGGCCGCAGCGCCUUGGGAGUUUUAUUGGCUUUGAGCUUUCCCCCAGGUUGGAGAUUCUGCCAAGCGGCUCCGGUGGCUCUGCUGGGGUUUGCAAUCCCUUAAUUGCAGCGUGUAAAAUAAAAGUUGUACCCUGAAGAGGUUACUUGACAGCUCCAGGGGUUAAACAAUUUUUCUCCUGUUUGUGUGAAGCUAGGGCCAACUGACAGUUCAAAUUGGUGUUCAGGCUAAGGUUUCCUGGGUGCAACGUGGACACGAAUACAGAACUCCUAUGGAACUGCACACCCGCUUCUGAAGUUGAGCCUAAAAACAGACGUGUGUGUGCCUGCAAGUCUAGAUACCGUCUCGUGCGUGCAUCAAAAUAAAUCACCGGGAACCGACUUUUAGCUGUGUUAAUCUGCUCUAGUUUUCCCAAGAUUCCCCUUUUUAAUUAAAGCAGGGAGAGUUCCUUCAUGAUUUGGUGAUGCUACUAACGCGGGCGUGCUCGCGAGGCAGAGCCCGGCUGCCGCGGAACCUGGAGGCCUGGGAGCCACCUACUCGUCCAGACUGGUCAGUCCGGGCUUUUGGACUCCUCACCGGGGCCUGCUGGGUCCUCUGGGGCUUUUAUCCCUUUCGGUUUUGGGAUUUUUUUUUAAGUAAGAAAA